GCGCUCGUGGCGGAAUUGGCAGACGCGUCAGGUUGAGGGCCUGGUGACCGUUUCAGGUCGUGUGAGUUCAAAUCUCACCGAGCGCA
RNAcentral lists this transfer RNA (86 nucleotides) under Anaerolineales bacterium. RNAcentral describes it as "tRNA-Leu". It matches the Rfam family "tRNA". Rfam says of the family: Transfer RNA (tRNA) molecules are approximately 80 nucleotides in length. Their secondary structure includes four short double-helical elements and three loops (D, anti-codon, and T loops). Further hydrogen bonds mediate the characteristic L-shaped molecular structure. tRNAs have two regions of fundamental functional importance: the anti-codon, which is responsible for specific mRNA codon recognition, and the 3' end, to which the tRNAs corresponding amino acid is attached (by aminoacyl-tRNA synthetases). tRNAs cope with the degeneracy of the genetic code in two manners: having more than one tRNA (with a specific anti-codon) for a particular amino acid; and 'wobble' base-pairing, i.e. permitting non-standard base-pairing at the 3rd anti-codon position. The record is from RNAcentral. Lineage: Bacteria; Bacillati; Chloroflexota; Anaerolineae; Anaerolineales.